RNAcentral lists this ribosomal RNA (253 nucleotides) under uncultured bacterium. RNAcentral's name for it is "partial 16S ribosomal RNA". It matches the Rfam family "Bacterial small subunit ribosomal RNA", at positions 524 to 776 of the family's 1533-position model. The record is from RNAcentral.
UACGUAGGUGGCGAGCGUUGUCCGGAUUUACUGGGCGUAAAGGGAGCGUAGGCGGACUUUUAAGUGAGAUGUGAAAUACUCGGGCUCAACUUGAGUGCUGCAUUUCAAACUGGAAGUCUAGCGUGCAGGAGAGGAGAAUGGAAUUCCUAGUGUAGCGGUGAAAUGCGUAGAGAUUAGGAAGAACACCAGUGGCGAAGGCGAUUCUCUGGACCGUAACUGACGCUGAGGCUCGAAAGCGUGGGGAGCAAACAGG